GGGAGGGGAAGGUGAUGGUCCGCGUUCUUCCUUUUGUCGCCAUCAUUGAUUGGCUUCCAAUUUCGCUUUCUCCUCUCCUUUGUUAGUCAAUUCGCCACCUGAUUCACAGCUAGCGCCCCUUGUGGUUAAAUCUCUCGGCAACUCUUGCAGCGCACUGUCUCGGCGUUGCCUCUCGCUCGGAAGCUGAAAUUUGGAAGACAAAUAUCAGGGAAUGCAGAAAGAUGUGUUUGUAUGUCAAAUCCCCGUCUAAGGUAUACAACAGUGUUGCCCAAAAUGAGGUCUCUGUGGUUGCCCCAGAUGACGUUGGAGUGCACAUCGAUAUCCAAUCCAUGCUUGAUGCACAACCAAACAAUGGGGCUAUAAGUGUUCAUCUGGCUCUUGUAUUUUAUGACCUUGUGGAAGACGGUUGAGAUCAACUGUGCCGAAUUCCUUUGCAUUGUAGAAAGCAUAGAUCACCCUAGCAGGGGGGAAUAAGACACUGUUUUUUGGGUUGUAGCUAUAUUAGAAAAUGGAAACGCAAAAUAGAGAAAGUGUGUUGAUGCAGAGGUAUGAAGUCGGGAGAUUGCUAGGGAAAGGAACUUUUGCCAAAGUUUAUUAUGCUAGGAAUGUGAGAACUUCCCAGAGUGUUGCUGUUAAAGUCAUAGACAAAGAGAAGGUCUUGAAGGUUGGGCUUAUCGAUCAGAUAAAGCGAGAGAUUUCUGUAAUGAGAUUGGUGAAACACCCAAAUGUUGUGCAGCUUUAUGAGGUCAUGGCUACCAAAUCUAAGAUAUACUUUGUCCUGGAAUAUGUAAAAGGUGGUGAACUUUUUAACAAGAUUGCAAAAGGAAGGCUCAAAGAAGAUGUUGCACGGAAAUAUUUCCAACAGCUGAUCAGUGCCAUCGACUUCUGCCACAGCAGAGGUGUCUAUCACCGUGAUCUAAAGCCUGAAAACCUUUUGCUUGACGAAAAUGGAAAUUUAAAGGUUUCAGAUUUUGGCUUAAGCGCUCUUGCUGAGUCCAAACAGCAGGAUGGCUUGCUCCAUACGACUUGUGGUACUCCAGCAUAUGUUGCUCCUGAGGUGAUUAGCAGAAAAGGAUAUGAUGGUGCAAAGGCUGAUACCUGGUCUUGUGGGAUCAUUCUGUUUGUUCUGAUGGCUGGUCAUCUCCCUUUUCAUAAUUCGAAUCUGAUGGAGAUGUAUAGGAAAAUUGGGAGAGCGGAUUUUAAAUGCCCUGUUUGGUUCUCAUCCGAUGUUAGAAGACUCCUUGUACGAAUUCUUGACCCAAAUCCUAAUAGUAGGAUCUCAUUUGCAAAGAUUAUGGAAACUCCUUGGUUUAGAAAGAGACUUGAUGACAAACUAUUUAAGAACUCCAAGGAAACAAAGGAAACUGAUCCUUCUCAUGUUGAUGAAGAGUUAAGUUCCUCUGGUAGCAACAUGGCUGAGGCAAAACAGGAGACGGGAAAACUUGCUACGUUAAAUGCUUUUGACCUCAUCUCUCUUUCAGCAGGAUUUGAUAUUUCAGGUUUGUUCGAGGAGACUGACCACAGGAGAGAAGCAAGGUUUACGUCUGAUCACCCAGCGUCUGUUAUUAUCUCAAAGCUGGAGGAGAUUGCCAAGCUCUUGAAGUUAAAAGUGAAGAAGAAGGAUCAAGGGGUACUAAAAAUGGAAGGAUCAAAAUCAGGGCGAAGUGGCGUUUUGGCCAUUGAUGCUGAGAUCUUUGAGGUUACUCCUGAACUUCAUCUGGUGGAGAUCAAGAAGACCGACGGGGAUACUUCGGAGUAUGAGAAGCUGUGGAAACAGGACAUUAGACCGGCCCUGAAAGACAUUGUUUGGAUGGACAUGGCAAGGAAAUAUGGCAGUAGUCCUCACCACUUUGAUUUGUCCUGCAUCAUGAACCCGCAAGCUAGCUCUGAAUUGGCUGAUUGAGAUUGAUGAGGGUGGCUUAAUUGUUGUCACUCUCAAACAAGAUCUCGAGUAUGAUGUAGGUGUGCAAAUUCAUUUCCAUUAGCAAGUUGUGGAUUGACAUGGGGAAGCCUUUUAUGGGAUUAACUACAGCGUGCUCAUUAUGAAGCGAACGGACCACAGGCUUGACAGGGCAAUGGAAAGCCGCCACCACCAUCACAUUUAUGUACCUGGCCAUGGAGGCAAAAGCCCCAAAGAAAGGGCAGCUUGACCUCCUUCGAGGGAAAAGCAAAAGAUGAAGACGGAGUGCUCACGCUCCCACAUUGUUCUUCGGUGAUGUUGCAAUGUGACCCAUCUCAUGUUGAAGAAGCGAAGACUCCAAGGUAUCGGGCAAGAACCGAAAGCAAAGGUGUCUGCGUUCCAUGUCCCACAGGCAAGGAAAUGAAUGCCUCCCUCUUCGAAGAUGGGCAAGAAGAAGUCGAGAGGGUCCCAAUCCUUAAGUUGGACUGCGUGAUUGCUCGCAGACUUCUCCAACUACUUUCGACGCGGAACAGAAUCCAAGACAUGGAGAUGGAGAAGC
Musa acuminata AAA Group (dessert banana) is the source of this 2459-nucleotide RNA transcript. It is a transcript of the gene named CBL-interacting protein kinase 18-like, with no coding region annotated. The transcript has 4 exons. Lineage: Eukaryota; Viridiplantae; Streptophyta; Magnoliopsida; Zingiberales; Musaceae. The record is from RefSeq and is a predicted model, not a curated record.